CGAACGCUGGCGGCGUGCUUACCACAUGCAAGUCGAACGGUGAAGCGCCUUCCUUUUUGGUGGGUGUGGAUGAGUGGCGAACGGGUGAGUAACACGUGAGUAACCUGCCCCCUUCUUCUGGAUAACCGCAUGAAAGUGUGGCUAAUACGGGAUAUUCUGGGUCUGUCGCAUGAUGGGUCUGGGAAAGAUAUUGUUUCGGUGGGGGAUGGGCUCGCGGCCUAUCAGCUUGUUGGUGGGGUGAUGGCCUACCAAGGCGGUGACGGGUAGCCGGCCUGAGAGGGUGGACGGUCACACUGGGACUGAGACACGGCCCAGACUCCUACGGGAGGCAGCAGUGAGGAAUAUUGCACAAUGGGCGCAAGCCUGAUGCAGCGACGCCGCGUGAGGGAUGGAGGCCUUCGGGUUGUGAACCUCUUUCGCCAGUGAAGCAGGCCUGCCUCGUUUGUGGGUGGGUUGACGGUAGCUGGAUAAGAAGCGCCGGCUAACUACGU
RNAcentral lists this ribosomal RNA (491 nucleotides) under uncultured bacterium. RNAcentral describes it as "partial 16S ribosomal RNA". It matches the Rfam family "Bacterial small subunit ribosomal RNA", at positions 30 to 506 of the family's 1533-position model. The record is from RNAcentral.